CGAAGUUAGCCGGGGCGUUCUUCUACGGUUACCGUCAUUAUCUUCACCGUUGAAAGAGCUUUACAACCCUAGGGCCUUCAUCACUCACGCGGCAUGGCUGGAUCAGGCUUGCGCCCAUUGUCCAAUAUUCCCC
This 133-nucleotide ribosomal RNA is filed under the name uncultured bacterium. RNAcentral describes it as "partial 16S ribosomal RNA". The record is from RNAcentral.